Molecule: ribosomal RNA, 409 nt
Filed under: Fusobacteriota bacterium
Lineage: Bacteria; Fusobacteriati; Fusobacteriota
Description: Fusobacteria bacterium partial 16S ribosomal RNA
Rfam family: Bacterial small subunit ribosomal RNA
Source: RNAcentral
UGGGGAAUAUUGCACAAUGGAGGGAACUCUGAUACAGCAACGCCGCGUGCGGGAUGACGGCCUUCGGGUUGUAAACCGCUUUCAGCCAUGACGAAGCUUUUGUGACGGUAGUGGUAGAAGAAGCACCGGCUAACUACGUGCCAGCAGCCGCGGUGAUACGUAGGGUGCGAGCGUUGUCCGGAAUUAUUGGGCGUAAAGAGCUUGUAGGCGGUUUGUCGCGUCGAUAGUGUAAACACGCAGCUUAACUGUGUGCCUGCUGUCGAUACGGGCUGACUAGAGGAGGGUAGGGGAGAAUGGAAUUCCCGGUGGAGCGGUGGAAUGCGCAGAUAUCGGGAGGAACACCAGUGGCGAAGGCGGUUCUCUGGACCUUUCCUGACGCUGAGAAGCGAAAGCGUGGGUAGCAAACAGG